Oreochromis aureus is the source of this 1871-nucleotide long non-coding RNA. The record is from Ensembl. Lineage: Eukaryota; Metazoa; Chordata; Actinopteri; Cichliformes; Cichlidae.
CGGAUUUUAAGCUACGAAAACACGACCGCCUGUUUUAACCUGACAGCCUGAGGUGUUCUUCAGUAAACUGGACUACCCGACAGAAGGACCCGAGGCCCCGCUGCACUUUUUCGGAGCUGCCCUCAGAUUCAGACGUCAGCACCACCCAGUGACAGCAGACAGAUCAUCCAACAUGUUCACAUGCUAACUGCAAAAUGAACUGAUGAAAACAGUACACGUGCUGUAGUGAAAGCUGCAGCUUUAUUGAUAAAGUUAAAGACAAAAAAACAAAAGGAUUAAUCACUCGUGUAAUAGUGUCACUAUAUAUCAGCAUUAACAGGACCUCAGUUUGGUGUUUCACAAAGCUGCUGAUCUCAGAUCUGCACAGCUUCUGCUUUAAACACUUGAUGUACUCAGCUGCAUGAAGAGCAUAUGAGAUUUUCUCUGGCACAAUUAAAUAAAACCUGAUGAAGGUCAAAGGUCGUCACUUGUAUGUUGAACUACAAACUUGUCAUCUGGAAUUCUUUCACAGUUUUCUGCAGAUAGUGUGUUGUUUACCAUAAAGUGAUUCAGAGUUAUUCAUACCAGAGUAACCAGAGAGGAUCAUAUAUUUUUAAAUAUAUAACUUUCUACAGGACUGAAUAUAAUAUCUUUAUGUAAAAGUCCGGAGCCUCUGGGGAGUAUCCGAGUAUUUAUAACAUUACACAAACCAAAGGUCUCCAUCACAGUAUUCAUGAAAUGCUGGAUUUAUCCAUCUCCUGGAUCGGGCCUACGGAUGAGUGCUGAAGAUUUCCCUGUGAGGGAGCUGCUGGUGAAGAUCAUGAGUCCUGCUUGAUCAAUGCGAUGAGCUUCUGUCUUCCUGGUGUUUCUUAAAUGAUGCCUCUCUCAGUGGGUCAACAGAACUUCUGGCACAGGACAGCUGUGAUGAAAGAAAGGGAAGAAGUUUCUCUAAACCUCUGGACCCAGGAAACCCAGCUUAGUCCUGAUGGUCUCCCUCACUAGUUUCUCCCCAGGGUGAAUGUAGCUGUUGAUAUAAUAUGGACUCUAUUAUUAAAUGAAAAGAACAAAUCAGACUACAUUACUGAAACGUUCUGCUGCUGUUUUUAAAGUUUCCAUGUUACCAGGAUGUAGAGGGCUCUGACGACUUAAACAGUUUUAGAUCCAUUACACUCACAGUUUUAUGUUAAAAUCUCAAAGGACAGCAUUAUAUUUUUGAUAUUAACAGUAACUCUGGGCUUCUGUAGAGUGUGCAGAUGAUCUCAUCGCUGUCUAAAAAUGGAUAAAAAAAAAAAACAUAAGAAGUGCUGAAUCCUUCAAUAAUACAGACUAUUAGAGUAGCAGGUGUGUAGCAUCGCUAACUACCUAGCAACAAGCCUCCAACACAGUGCGUAUGCUAGCGGCUAAUCUAGCUAACAAAUUAACAACAGAGUGAUUUUAGAACUAUAAGAUGAUAAGCUGUGUUUCUUUUUUUAUAACAGUGACAUGGUUGUAUUUACCUUAAUUAAAGGAGUCGUCAGUUGCGGUAAAACAACAAAAAAACUCGAGCAGCCGGGCUACGUAAUAAGUGUAGGGGGGCGUGUUUGCGGUCAUGUCCAGCGGGUGUGUGGGCGGGAGCGUUACACAGUCGCUCCACCUCAAGUCACUACUGCGCAGACUGGCUCCAAACUUGCAAGAUGGCAGCCUCCACAAGCGGGAUAUUUUGGCUUCAUUUUUGCACAAUGGGAGGAGGCGGUGUCGCGUCGUCCAUGUUUUCUACAGUCAAUGUUCUGUAUGGGCUCAAAAUGUGGUCAUAAAUAUUUUGUACUUGUAAAUCAGUUUUGUACUUGUAAAUCAGGAUUUGUAUGUGUAAAAAGAAUUUGUGCGUGCGUAAAAAAGAUUUGUAUGUGUAAAAA